Long non-coding RNA from Rosa chinensis, 1811 nucleotides. RefSeq lists it as uncharacterized. The transcript is spliced from 6 exons. Lineage: Eukaryota; Viridiplantae; Streptophyta; Magnoliopsida; Rosales; Rosaceae. The record is from RefSeq and is a predicted model, not a curated record.
AAAUUAUUCUAUAUAUAAAGGGUGGGUUUACUGUUAUACUGUUCAUAAGAGUUGGAAAAGGCGUGUUUGUCCUCACUGUUCGAGGAGAAUAUCAAGCUAGUGGAAAAGUCGAUUUCGUCCUUGCUUUUGUUAGUGUUGGAUGUGAUACCUGAUCAGGAUUUGAGUGGUUUACAUCAUCAUCAGAAAGAGCGAAAGAAGAGAGAGGAAAGAAGAGAGGAAGGGAGAAGAUCUAGGUGACAAUAGACUGGUUGCAAGGAAAGGAGAGCAUUUCGGUGACAAUAGACCGGUUGCAAGCUGUGAAACUCGAAUUGUAUUGCUAAUCUCAGAAUACAUAGUUGUACUGAAAACAAAUAGAACAGAUUCUGUGGGUUCUACAGUUUCAGAUCCAGGUAACUCACUGCAAGAACUUCAAGGUUUAAAACAGAAUAGCAACUAAAGUGUCAAAGCUGCAGAGUUUCAAAUAAAAGGUUUAAAACAAAACAUCAGUAACUAAGUGUCAAAGCACUAGAGUUUAAAAUCAAGGGUUGAAGUGAAGACAAUAUCUCUAUUUCAUACAGGCAAACUUGCCCCCUCGCCUCUUGAGGUUUUUUUCCUUUUCACGCAAUUUCAAUUUUAUCAACUAUCUGUGUUAGAAUUGAUUGGGGUACAUUGGGUUUGGUUUUGAUUUUGUUUUCCGCUUUCAUCGGUUAUGAACUGAUUGGGGUUUUAAUUUUUUAGUAGUUUUGUUUGUGUCGGAGUUUCAGAUUUUAGUGGCCGAUUGGCCUUGCUGAUUUGAGUUUUAUUUUUGGUUAGUUUUUGUGGUAAAGUUAAAGUCUUUGGCCAUUUGAAAACCUUCAUUGAUUGUGGAGGUCUGAGUAUUCUGAUAUUCUGUAGCUCACUCUAUAAGUCUCAAUUAUGUCUAUGGUUACACCGGUGGUUGAUUUUCUUUUGAGAUAAGUUUAGUUUUCUCUUUUAAAACAAUGUAUAGAAAUGUCAGCUUAAUCAAGUAUAGAGCGUUUCAGGGUUUAGGUUUAGGAUGUAUAGUGUAUAUUUGAAUUAUUCUUUCAAAUUUAGUGUUUUUAGUUUUGGGUGUGGUAUGUUAGUGAUUUGAUUAUAAUAUUUUAGUGCUACGUUUUGAGUGUGCCACUAUAUUAGAAACAUGAAAUCAUAUGAGAGAUCUUACAAACUAGAACCAUGCCAGGAGCUGCUAACAAUUCAGUGGCAUUACCCAUUUCUAAGAUCCUCGACUAGGCACAGCGUUGGAUGUAAUACACAAGUAACGAUAACCUUGGAAAUAGCAAACUGCAUUUAUGUUUAAUCUCCUUCCUUUUUGCUUCUCUUUUUUUGUUUGUCGGCAAAGGGACAAACUGCAAUAUAGACAAUCGUUGGAAGCCCUCCUGUAGCUUGCUUUUCUUCAAAUGAUAAUCAUAAUAUAUUAGGAGAGCAAAGAGGAGAUUUAUAUAUAAAGUAUUUUUUAUUCCUACCGUCAACAUCCUUUGUUAGAGCCAGGGAUUACAUUUUGGUCAAGGUAGCCAAUUGCUUCUUAUGCCUUUUGUGAAGUCAUUACCAUUGCAAGGAGUUUUUGCAAGAGGACUAACCAUUUGUAUCUUUAACUUAUGAAGUGCAACUGCUAUGCAGGUUCUGUUUUGAUCAAUAUAUGCUAAAAUUUUGUAUCUACUGUGGGCUUUAAGUACAGUAAUAGCAAUAUAAAUCUUUUCCAAUUUUGGUUCACUGGUUUGCAUUUAGUUUUGUUUUAGCUUCUUUAAGUGAGAGAAGGGAAGUCUUUAAACGGACAUCCUUAUUACUACUGUGUUCAAAUAGAAGAAGAAGAA